This 460-nucleotide ribosomal RNA is filed under the name uncultured bacterium. RNAcentral describes it as "partial 16S ribosomal RNA". It matches the Rfam family "Bacterial small subunit ribosomal RNA", at positions 338 to 795 of the family's 1533-position model. The record is from RNAcentral.
CCUACGGGAGGCAGCAGUGAGGAAUAUUGGUCAAUGGACGAGAGUCUGAACCAGCCACGCAGCGUGAAGGAUGACUGCCCUAUGGGUUGUAAACUUCUUUUAUAUGGGAAUAAAACAGGGUAUGCAUACCCUCUUGUAUGUACCAUAUGAAUAAGGAUCGGCUAACUCCGUGCCAGCAGCCGCGGUAAUACGGAGGAUCCGAGCGUGAUCCGGAUUGAUUGGGGUUAAAGGGUGCGUAGGUGGUUUGAUAAGUCAGUUGUGAAAGUUUGAGGCUCAACCGUUAAAUUGCAGGUGAAACUGGCAGGCUAGAGUACAGUAGAGGUGGGCGGAAUUCGUGGUGUAGCGGUGAAAUGCUUAGAUAUCACGAAGAACUCCGAUUGCGAAGGCAGCUCACUGGACUGCAACUGACACUGAUGCUCGAAAGCGUGGGUAUCAAACAGGAUUAGAUACCCUUGUAGUC